Molecule: ribosomal RNA, 506 nt
Filed under: uncultured bacterium
Lineage: Bacteria
Description: bacterial SSU rRNA
Rfam family: Bacterial small subunit ribosomal RNA
Source: RNAcentral
GGCUCAGGAUGAACGCUAGCGGCAGGCUAACACAUGCAAGUCGAGGGGCAGCGGGAUGUAGCAAUACACUGCCGGCGACCGGCGGAUGGGUGCGUAACGCGUAUGCAACCUAACCUUAUACAGGGGAAUAACCUUUCGAAAGGGAGACUAACACCCCAUAGUAUUGAUUUAAGGCAUCUUAGAUUAAUUAAAUAUUUAUAGGUAUAAGAUGGGCAUGCGUAUGAUUAGCUAGUUGGUAAGGUAACGGCUUACCAAGGCGACGAUCAUUAGGGGUUCUGAGAGGAAGGUCCCCCCACACUGGUACUGAGACACGGACCAGACUCCUACGGGAGGCAGCAGUGAGGAAUAUUGGUCAAUGGGCGCAAGCCUGAACCAGCCAUGCCGCGUGCAGGAAAGACGGCCUUAUGGGUUGUAAACUGCUUUUACAUAAGACUAACCGUAUAUUUGCGAAUAUACCUGAAUGUAUUAUGAGAAUAAGGAUCGGCUAACUCCGUGCCAGCAGCCGC